GCUGGGCAUGGUGGCGGGUGCCUGUAAUCCCAGCUACUCAGGAGGCUGAGGCGGGAGAAUCGCUUGAACCCAGGAAGUGGAGGUUGCAGUGAGCCGAGAUCAUGCCACUGCACUCCAGCCUGGGUGACAGAGCAAGACCCUGUCUCAA
RNAcentral lists this non-coding RNA (148 nucleotides) under Pan troglodytes (chimpanzee). Lineage: Eukaryota; Metazoa; Chordata; Mammalia; Primates; Hominidae. The record is from Rfam by way of RNAcentral.